RNAcentral lists this transfer RNA (48 nucleotides) under Coriaria arborea. RNAcentral's name for it is "partial tRNA-Phe". Lineage: Eukaryota; Viridiplantae; Streptophyta; Magnoliopsida; Cucurbitales; Coriariaceae. RNAcentral also lists the same sequence under 11 other names. The record is from RNAcentral.
UCGGGAUAGCUCAGUUGGUAGAGCAGAGGACUGAAAAUCCUCGUGUCA